UUCCCUGUGGCUCAGUUGGUAAAGCAUGGUGUUUGCAACGCCAGGGUUGUGGGUUUGAUUCCCACGGGGGGAC
Molecule: transfer RNA, 73 nt
Filed under: Salmo salar (Atlantic salmon)
Lineage: Eukaryota; Metazoa; Chordata; Actinopteri; Salmoniformes; Salmonidae
Rfam family: tRNA
About the family: Transfer RNA (tRNA) molecules are approximately 80 nucleotides in length. Their secondary structure includes four short double-helical elements and three loops (D, anti-codon, and T loops).
Source: Rfam by way of RNAcentral